This 312-nucleotide ribosomal RNA is filed under the name Triticum aestivum (bread wheat). Its description in RNAcentral is "partial small subunit ribosomal RNA". The record is from RNAcentral. Lineage: Eukaryota; Viridiplantae; Streptophyta; Magnoliopsida; Poales; Poaceae.
AUGUUCUUCGGAGCCGCCGCUCCGACUUCCUCACCGGCCCCGAGGCCGCGCACACGCCUGGCCGAUGAAGAACCCACAAAGCCACCCGAGCCACCGCGAGCUGACGAGGACCAGACCUCCAAGGCGUCGCCCCCAAGAGGGAAGCGACAAGAAUGCCGCCGAUGCCCGUUCCGACCAAGGUCGAAACUUGGGUUUUCACCCAGAGAGCCCGAGACCGAGGCGACAAUGGUGGUGAAGGGGCUCCACGACGACGCCUCCAAGGAGGGAACGACGUCCGAGGACGCUGUCGACGCUGGCAACGACCGAGGUUGA